GACGAACCGAGCGAACGUUGUUCGGAAUCACUGGGCUUAAAGGGCGCGUAGGCGGGUGCUCAAGUCCGGGGUGAAAUCCUCCAGCUCAACUGGAGAACUGCCUCGGAUACUGGGUGCCUCGAGGGUGGCAGGGGUAUGCGGAACUAUCGGUGGAGCGGUGAAAUGCGUUGAUAUCGAUAGGAGCUCCGGUGGCGAAGGCGGCAUACUGGUCCACUUCUGACGCUGAGGCGCGAAAGCCAGGGGAGCAAACGGG
RNAcentral lists this ribosomal RNA (253 nucleotides) under uncultured bacterium. Its description in RNAcentral is "partial 16S ribosomal RNA". It matches the Rfam family "Bacterial small subunit ribosomal RNA", at positions 524 to 776 of the family's 1533-position model. The record is from RNAcentral.